CCUACGGGAGGCAGCAGUGGGGAAUAUUGCACAAUGGGGGAAACCCUGAUGCAGCGACGCCGCGUGAGCGAGGAAGUAUGUCGGUAUGUAAAGCUCUAUCAGCAGGGACGAAAAAAGACGGUACCUGACGAAGAAGCACCGGCUAACUACGUGCCAGCAGCCGCGGUAAUACGUAGGGGGCAAGCGUUAUCCGGAUUUACGGGGGGUAAAGGGAGCGUAGACGGCAAGGAAAGCCAGAAGUGAAAGGGCAGGGCUCAACCCUGUACAUGCUUUUGUAACUGUGGUGCUAGAGGGCAGGAGCGGUAAGUGGCCUUCCUCGUGUAGCGGUGUCAUGCGUCGAUCUUAG
This 346-nucleotide ribosomal RNA is filed under the name uncultured bacterium. RNAcentral describes it as "partial 16S ribosomal RNA". It matches the Rfam family "Bacterial small subunit ribosomal RNA", at positions 338 to 700 of the family's 1533-position model. The record is from RNAcentral.